RNAcentral lists this ribosomal RNA (530 nucleotides) under uncultured bacterium. RNAcentral describes it as "partial 16S ribosomal RNA". It matches the Rfam family "Bacterial small subunit ribosomal RNA", at positions 355 to 895 of the family's 1533-position model. The record is from RNAcentral.
UGGGGAAUAUUGCACAAUGGGCGCAAGCCUGAUGCAGCAACGCCGCGUGAGGGACGACGGCCUUCGGGUUGUAAACCUCUUUUAGUAGGGAAGAAGCGAAAGUGACGGUACCUGCAGAAAAAGCACCGGCUAACUACGUGCCAGCAGCCGCGGUAAUACGUAGGGUGCGAGCGUUGUCCGGAAUUAUUGGGCGUAAAGAGCUCGUAGGCGGUCUGUCGCGUCUGCUGUGAAAACCCGAGGCUCAACCUCGGGCCUGCAGUGGGUACGGGCAGACUAGAGUGCGGUAGGGGAGAAUGGAAUUCCUGGUGUAGCGGUGGAAUGCGCAGAUAUCAGGAGGAACACCGAUGGCGAAGGCAGUUCUCUGGGCCGUAACUGACGCUGAGGAGCGAAAAGCGUGGGGAGCGAACAGGAUUAGAUACCCUGGUAGUCCACGCCGUAAACGUUGGGCGCUAGAUGUGGGGACCAUUCCACGGUUUCCGUGUCGCAGCUAACGCAUUAAGCGCCCGCCUGGGGAGUACGGCCGCAAGGCU